This 208-nucleotide ribosomal RNA is filed under the name uncultured bacterium. Its description in RNAcentral is "partial 16S ribosomal RNA". It matches the Rfam family "Bacterial small subunit ribosomal RNA", at positions 568 to 774 of the family's 1533-position model. The record is from RNAcentral.
CGCGUAGGCGGCUUUUCAAGUGACGGGUGAAAUCCCUCGGCUUAACCGAGGAACUGCCUGUCAGACUGGAAGGCUUGGGACCGGGAGAGGUGAGUGGAAUUCCCAGUGUAGCGGUGAAAUGCGUAGAUAUUGGGAGGAACACCAGUGGCGAAGGCGGCUCACUGGACCGGAACUGACGCUGAGGCGCGAAAGCGUGGGGAAGCAAACA